This 1568-nucleotide ribosomal RNA is filed under the name Shigella sonnei. RNAcentral describes it as "partial 23S ribosomal RNA". It matches the Rfam family "Bacterial large subunit ribosomal RNA", at positions 1367 to 2915 of the family's 2925-position model. Lineage: Bacteria; Pseudomonadati; Pseudomonadota; Gammaproteobacteria; Enterobacterales; Enterobacteriaceae. The record is from RNAcentral.
AAUCGGGGCAGGGUGAGUCGACCCCUAAGGCGAGGCCGAAAGGCGUAGUCGAUGGGAAACAGGUUAAUAUUCCUGUACUUGGUGUUACUGCGAAGGGGGGACGGAGAAGGCUAUGUUGGCCGGGCGACGGUUGUCCCGGUUUAAGCGUGUAGGCUGGUUUUCCAGGCAAAUCCGGAAAAUCAAGGCUGAGGCGUGAUGACGAGGCACUACGGUGCUGAAGCAACAAAUGCCCUGCUUCCAGGAAAAGCCUCUAAGCAUCAGGUAACAUCAAAUCGUACCCCAAACCGACACAGGUGGUCAGGUAGAGAAUACCAAGGCGCUUGAGAGAACUCGGGUGAAGGAACUAGGCAAAAUGGUGCCGUAACUUCGGGAGAAGGCACGCUGAUAUGUAGGUGAAGUCCCUUGCGGAUGGAGCUGAAAUCAGUCGAAGAUACCAGCUGGCUGCAACUGUUUAUUAAAAACACAGCACUGUGCAAACACGAAAGUGGACGUAUACGGUGUGACGCCUGCCCGGUGCCGGAAGGUUAAUUGAUGGGGUCAGCGCAAGCGAAGCUCUUGAUCGAAGCCCCGGUAAACGGCGGCCGUAACUAUAACGGUCCUAAGGUAGCGAAAUUCCUUGUCGGGUAAGUUCCGACCUGCACGAAUGGCGUAAUGAUGGCCAGGCUGUCUCCACCCGAGACUCAGUGAAAUUGAACUCGCUGUGAAGAUGCAGUGUACCCGCGGCAAGACGGAAAGACCCCGUGAACCUUUACUAUAGCUUGACACUGAACAUUGAGCCUUGAUGUGUAGGAUAGGUGGGAGGCUUUGAAGUGUGGACGCCAGUCUGCAUGGAGCCGGCCUUGAAAUACCACCCUUUAAUGUUUGAUGUUCUAACGUGGACCCGUGAUCCGGGUUGCGGACAGUGUCUGGUGGGUAGUUUGACUGGGGCGGUCUCCUCCUAAAGAGUAACGGAGGAGCACGAAGGUUGGCUAAUCCUGGUCGGACAUCAGGAGGUUAGUGCAAUGGCAUAAGCCAGCUUGACUGCGAGCGUGACGGCGCGAGCAGGUGCGAAAGCAGGUCAUAGUGAUCCGGUGGUUCUGAAUGGAAGGGCCAUCGCUCAACGGAUAAAAGGUACUCCGGGGAUAACAGGCUGAUACCGCCCAAGAGUUCAUAUCGACGGCGGUGUUUGGCACCUCGAUGUCGGCUCAUCACAUCCUGGGGCUGAAGUAGGUCCCAAGGGUAUGGCUGUUCGCCAUUUAAAGUGGUACGCGAGCUGGGUUUAGAACGUCGUGAGACAGUUCGGUCCCUAUCUGCCGUGGGCGCUGGAGAACUGAGGGGGGCUGCUCCUAGUACGAGAGGACCGGAGUGGACGCAUCACUGGUGUUCGGGUUGUCAUGCCAAUGGCACUGCCCGGUAGCUAAAUGCGGAAGAGAUAAGUGCUGAAAGCAUCUAAGCACGAAACUUGCCCCGAGAUGAGUUCUCCCUGACCCUUUAAGGGUCCUGAAGGAACGUUGAAGACGACGACGUUGAUAGGCCGGGUGUGUAAGCGCAGCGAUGCGUUGAGCUAACCGGUACUAAUGAACCGUGAG